GCGGGGGUACCCGAGCCAGGUCUAAGGGGUGAGGCUCAGGCCCUCAUGGCGUAGGCCUUCGUGGGUUCAAAUCCCACCCCCCGCACCA
RNAcentral lists this transfer RNA (88 nucleotides) under Candidatus Bathyarchaeota archaeon. RNAcentral's name for it is "tRNA-Leu". It matches the Rfam family "tRNA". Rfam says of the family: Transfer RNA (tRNA) molecules are approximately 80 nucleotides in length. Lineage: Archaea; Thermoproteati; Candidatus Bathyarchaeota. RNAcentral also lists the same sequence under 2 other names. The record is from RNAcentral.